UGCGGGGUGGAGCAGCCAGGUAGCUCGUCGGGCUCAUAACCCGAAGGUCACAGGUUCGAAUCCUGUCCCCGCUACCA
Molecule: transfer RNA, 77 nt
Filed under: Desulfococcus multivorans
Lineage: Bacteria; Pseudomonadati; Thermodesulfobacteriota; Desulfobacteria; Desulfobacterales; Desulfococcaceae
Also listed under: 2 other names
Description: tRNA-Met
Rfam family: tRNA
About the family: Transfer RNA (tRNA) molecules are approximately 80 nucleotides in length. Their secondary structure includes four short double-helical elements and three loops (D, anti-codon, and T loops).
Source: RNAcentral